Molecule: long non-coding RNA, 3279 nt
Filed under: Androctonus crassicauda
Lineage: Eukaryota; Metazoa; Arthropoda; Arachnida; Scorpiones; Buthidae
Source: RNAcentral
CAGGAUUAUAAGCAGGAACUUCAUUCAAGGAGUUUCUUUUUUUUUCUGUGUGUUAAAUAUUUUAACAUAAAAAAAAAAUAAAUGUUUUUGAAUGGCGACUUCAUUCUGAACCAUCAAGAGAUGAGUUACAGAUGACGAAUGACGAUUUCAUUCUCAGUUUUUUUUUUUUUAACUACAUGCUUGUAUUUAUAAAUUUUUCUACUAAAUGUGUUUAGGAAACAUGGACACAUUCUUCACGAAUCGUAGAAGUUCGAAACUUCUUUCUAUUACUGUGUGAUGCGUUUUCAGGAAUCUCUUUCGGUGAAAGUUAUGGUUUAGGAGGAGUUCACCACACGCAUUUUUUAAGUUUAUUCUGUUAUUUUGGGAGAUGAGCAAGUGCUUAAUGGAUUUUUAAAAAUAUUUUCCAGUUUUUCGCAAGUUAUUUCUAUAAAUUAGCCUUUUUUAAUUUUUUUCGUUAUAAAUAUUUAUAGUUUUAGGAAUCUUUAAUGACUACCCGAGAACCUCCUUGAAGGUAGCUGAAGUUAUUUUUUUUUCUUUUUUAAAAAAACGCUUAAUUUAACUAGGUUAAUAAACCACUCUGGCCACCUUACGCAUAAAAAGUUCUCUCGUACGAGAAAAAAUGAAAACAAAAAACAAAAAAAGGCAGCAAAGAGACUUUUUAAAACGUCUUUAAUACGAAAUUUGUUUAGGAAAAGCCAGCAGUAGUUCUUAAUCUCAAAUUGGAUUUCCUUCGUGUUUAUAAUCAGUAGAUACCAUACGCUCUGUUAAUUAGGGUGUCCCAGGACUUGUGCAUCCUCCACUACUUAAAGCCAAUUUCCAUUUGCUAUUACAGCUUUGAUCACUGAUGGAGAUAUAAUGGAAGACACUUCAAAGACUUCUUCGUUUUGGUUUCCCCCUUCUUCUGCCUUUUUCCCCUCCUGUUCGCGUUCCCCCCUCUUAGCAGAGAGAGAGAGAGGAUUGACAACAUGUAGAAAAGUGUAUUACGAUGACGUGAUUGAGAUCGGGUUGCACUGCAAUCUUAUUCUACUCGUUCGCCCUUAGAUACUACUACAAUAAUAAAAUAGAAUUAAAGAAAUUUUCGAACGUAUACAGUUCUGUACUUUAAUAAAUUCGCGACAGCGGAAUGGGAAUUUUGUAAAAUUUCAAUUUAGUUUCUUUUUUUUACGUUUUGAAGACACUUAGAAAGUAUUUUUUUCCUCGGGAUAUCUUGAAGUGGUAUCGAGAAAAAAUGAUCAGCUACAUCGCGAUAUGUUUUAAUAAACUAUACAUAUAUAUUGCAGAAAGUUUACAUUAUGAUUUAUUGUGACGAAAUUCUCAAGAUGAUGACUACGUAGAUAUUUUUUAACACAACAAAUUUGCUCGUGUUUCAAUGCAAGGUAUCAAAGGUCUAAACAGGUGUAACGAGAAACUGAUCGUGUUCGAAAGAAAAACAAUGGAUCAUUUCCGAAGCCUAAAAAAAGAAGAAGAAGUUUUGUUAUAAAAAUAGUGUUUUCUUAAUUAUUUUAGGGUGAUUGGCGUUGAUACUCCAAGAGUGGGAUUUAUUAAGGAAGUUUAAUCAAUGGCCAGAAGCCAAAUGUAGAUUUGAUAAGGAGUUCAUGAUGAUUAUAAUAAAUAUUACACGAAGUGGAGUACCACUUGUGCGUUUGACUCGAGUAUAGUCGGUCCACUUGUCCCGAAUGUAAAAAAAUACCCUGUAUAUCUUCGACGCUUCUGGGAAUAUCUUUACGGAUCCCGUAAAGUGGUAUCAGUAAUUAAUUACGGAACGAGAAAAGAUAGAAUGUUCUUUUUUGAUGGUUUUUGAGAGUUUGUACGGAGUGAUUCAUCCUAUUUGUGUUCCAUUGUUGAGCGGCUUUUUAUCCUUACUGGCCUCUCGGAGGCCUCGUGUAAACAUCGAUAAUGACCAUGAUGUCAAAUUUGUCACGUGUUUGGCUUUAUUCUAUGUUUUUUUUAUUGUGUUACCUAGGUUUUGUUUGUUUGAUGUUUUCGAAGGUGUUAGUCGAAGUAUUUUGUUCUUUCCGAGCGCAGUAUGAGAAUGCAGUUUCUUUGUUACGUAACGGCGAUUAAAUAUAAUAAAAAAAAAAAUUAAUUUCUUCAUGCGGCGUGCACUUAAAUAGCCUGUCUUGUUAAGAUUACAAUUUUUACAACGGCGGACAAUAUCCCGUUCUUUCAUAAAUUAUAUCAUUAUUAGUACGUUGGAAUGUGCACGGACGAGACGUGAUUGUGUCUGAUAAUUUGUUUCCUGAGGAAGGGUUCUCGUUAUUUUUCUUCGUACGGCUAUGAGGAAUAUAAAUAAGAAGAUUUCGCUUAGAUUUAUGUAUUAAUUGCACUCAAAUGCUGAGUGAUUCAACUGCUCAGUCAAUAAGAACAAUAAGAUCUACCCAACCUUGCGAGGUCGGUGAUUGUUUACUAAAUAUAGAAAUUCUAUACUUUGUCCUGUCUAUCACGGACUUUACUCUCGAUUUUUUCCUGUUGAGGUGUCGGUUUUCCUUGGGUUUUAACUUACUUAUCAAGUUCUUUUAUGUACACAGCGAGGUGGUGCAGCUUGCCGGUUUUAUAAAUUGCACAUAUCUCUUAACAGUUUGUAGUUCUUCGUUUGCAGUUGCAACCCGAAUCGUCCACAUAUGUUUACGUUUUCGUCGUCCUUCGUUGAAUGCGAACGAAUGUGCAACCAUCGACUUGUUAAAGUAUCACGGGUCUCUGCUCUUAUAAGUUCGAGCGUCUGACGCCCGACUCGAUUCAUUAAAGCCAUCUUUCAUGGGCUCUUGACUGUUUGGGGCCGUUAUCGUCUAUUAAAUUGUAGUCUGAGAUAGUUGGGACGAUUCGGAGGCGUGUUCCAAUUCUUCACAAUUCAGAUUCUUCGCUCUGCGGUCGAAAAUUGGAUUUUUACGAGGUGUUGCGAAUUCCUGUUGGGGUCACCGUCACCCACCUGAACUAUUUAUCUCGGUCACGUGACCGUGGCACACGUGUUCUGCCUUGGCAAGUUGCCACCGGUUGACGUCCUUUGUUUCGUUCGUCACUCUUGCUGCCGAAGGGCGUCCACGUUCUCCUUGUAUUACCGUCAAAAUUGGGCACCGCCCCGAAUUAGAUUAGCACGUUAACCCACCCGACAUUAACCGGUAGGGUGACAAAACAGCUCACCUGGAAAAAGCAUUAUAAAGAACUUAAGUAUGCAUUCGAAAUUAGAUCUGUUAAUGUCCUUUCAUUGAAACUUAAAAACCGUAUCGAUGAUCAAGAUAAGUUCGUUCAAUCAAAAAUAUCCAGUGUAAUUCAAUAAUUGAC